This is a long non-coding RNA of Vidua macroura (Pin-tailed whydah), 2414 nucleotides long. RefSeq lists it as uncharacterized. The record is from RefSeq and is a predicted model, not a curated record. Lineage: Eukaryota; Metazoa; Chordata; Aves; Passeriformes; Viduidae. The transcript has 2 exons.
CCCAGACACACGUCUUCAGCAAUUGUUUAUCUUCCACCAGAGUGCAGAUCAAUCUUCACACAGAGCUGGAUGCAGCAAUGCAGGUGGGGUCUCACAAGAGCAGAACAGACAGGCAGAAUCACCUCCAUUCAUCUGCUGGACCUGCUUCCUUUGAUGCAUCUCAGGAUACAGUUGGGCUUCUUCUGGGCUACAAGUGCAUAUUGUCAACUCACCAAGCUUCUUGUCCAGCAAUGCCCCCAAGUCCUUCUCCACAGGCCUAGUCUCAAUCAAUUCUCCACACAGCCUAUAUUUGUGCUUGGGAUUGCCCUGACCCAGAUGCAGCACCUUGUGCUUGGCCUUGCUGAACUUCAUGAGGUUUGCAAAGGUCCACCUCUCAAGUUGUCCAGGUCCUGCUGGAUGGUAUCCCUUCCUUCUGUCGUGUUGAUCACAUCACUCAGCUUGGUGUCAUCAGCAAAGCUGCUAAGAGUGAACUCUGUCCCAGCAUCCAUGUUGCCAACAAAGAUGCUGAACAUCACCAAUCCCAAUACCAAUCACCAAGGAACACCACUUGUCACCGGUCUCCACUUGGACUACCAAUUCACUUCCCUCACAUCAAAUUGUUAGUAAAGAUUUCCUGAUCAAAAUUGAUUUUUCAAAUUUGAUGCCAGUUCAGAGUUCGUGUUCACAUCCGUCUAGGACAACUUUAACAAAUGUAGAGAGGGAAUGUGCUCCUGUUACAUGUGCAUUCUUAUUAAACUUCACUUCAACAAUACAGAAUCCUGGAAAACCAAAUUAAUGAGAGGAUGUGCUCAACUGUAUAAAAUGUUGGAGGACUGGGUUAUGUGGACUACUUUCACUUGAAUGAUAGGAUCUUUUUUAGUUAGUAUUUACUAUUUGAAUAGAGAAAUCCUCAAAAGUUGCUGUAUUUAACCACAAAGAAAGUCUAAGGCUUCAUUGGAAAAAGAUUAAUCAGUAUUGGUACUAAUAAAUGGAAUGUGAAAAUGUGUUAUUACAGCCAUGUACUCCAUUGCUGGCGUGGUGAUCAGUGGCAGAAACAAUUCAUCAUCACAACACAAAGCAAUGUCUGUAAUGCAGCUUCAGUUGUUUCGUCUUGUAUGAUGUAUACAAGCAUCAAGAGAAGUUCAACAUCUGUGAUGCUGAAGCUUUGUAACAGUCAAACAUUAUGAUGAGUUUUCUAUCAAACUAAAAAGAGUUCAGGACUCAAUACUUUGCACAGAACAAGUGCACAGCAGCAGCAAGUGUCAUAUAGAGUCUUACACAGUGUCACUUCUUCAGCCUCCAAGUCACUUUGAACAAGUAGAAGGCUUUUGAAAUCUGACUUUGUGUCACAAGGCAAAGAAGAAAUAUAUCCUUUUAUCUGGGAAUUCAUCUCUGACCAGAAAUAAAGACUUGCUGCUGACAACAGGUUGUUUUUCUUCUCUUUCUGAAUAUAAAAAUACAGUAUGGGUCAGGUAGCAUGAGGCUGCUUUCUGCUCUCAAAAACAUCUUUAAAAUGAAACUACACAUUUAAAGAAUGAAAAUUUGGGUUUUCAAGCAAACCAGAAUAUAAACAGGUUAGGAGCUGGUAAUCAAAGUAACAACGCAACAGAAAUCCAUAAAGGGAAUGGAGAAUAUUGACAAACAUGCUUUUCAUUAGAAAAGACUUUUUUGCAUCAAUUUUUGAAUUAAGAAAAUCAAUCAGAAGUGAAGAUAUACUGACAGCAGCAUGAGGAAGCAGCAAAAGUUCAACAGAGAGAAGUAGUGCAAUCAAUUUGACCUUGUGUCAGACACUUUACCAACUCCACAGAAACUGGGUAUUAAGCAAGUACCCAUAAAAUAGGUUGAAUUAUUUAGCAAGUGUGGGACUUUUAAAUCAACUCAGGCCAUGAUCUACCUGUGUUGGCAAAUCCAACUGCUCUGGAAAACUGAAUCUCCCAGGAUGCAGCCAUUGUUUGAUGGGAGAGCAAGAAUAAGGAGAAGUUCUUCAGGACAGAAAAGCCAAAAUCUGUGUUCAAUUCAAUUAGCUAGCAGAUGUAACUAAAAUUUUAGAUGGAAAGACAGAAGUAUUUUUAAAGUCAAACCUAUGGGAAAAAAAAAAAUUGGGGGAGAGUAUAAAUGAGCAUAAAAGGUGUUUCAGGCUUCUCUUUUCAUAGUUGCACAACUCCACUUUUUCAUAAUUACUGCAUGGUGCUGACUUUUUUUUUUUCACGUAUAUUUAAAAUGGACAUUGUAAAAUCAUUGGGCAGAGACAUAAUAAUGUUAACAACUCUUCUUUUUUCAUGCAAAAUUUCUUUGACAGCUUGGCAUAUAGUUAAUCACUUUUUAAAAACUGAAUGCACCCCAAUGCAGUGGACCUAAUUUUUUAAUCUGUCAGCCAGAAUUUGUCAUUAACAAACUUUUAAAAACUGAUUAAAUACUUUGCUUUUUUUCCUCAA